RNAcentral lists this ribosomal RNA (1126 nucleotides) under Klebsiella ornithinolytica. RNAcentral describes it as "Raoultella ornithinolytica partial 23S ribosomal RNA". It matches the Rfam family "Bacterial large subunit ribosomal RNA", at positions 397 to 1529 of the family's 2925-position model. The record is from RNAcentral. Lineage: Bacteria; Pseudomonadati; Pseudomonadota; Gammaproteobacteria; Enterobacterales; Enterobacteriaceae.
CUGUGAGUUCGAAGAGUAGGGCGGGACACGUGGUAUCCUGUCUGAAUAUGGGGGGACCAUCCUCCAAGGCUAAAUACUCCUGACUGACCGAUAGUGAACCAGUACCGUGAGGGAAAGGCGAAAAGAACCCCGGCGAGGGGAGUGAAACAGAACCUGAAACCGUGUACGUACAAGCAGUGGGAGCCUCUUUAUGGGGUGACUGCGUACCUUUUGUAUAAUGGGUCAGCGACUUAUAUUCUGUAGCAAGGUUAACCGUAUAGGGGAGCCGCAGGGAAACCGAGUCUUAACUGGGCGUUAAGUUGCAGGGUAUAGACCCGAAACCCGGUGAUCUAGCCAUGGGCAGGUUGAAGGUUGGGUAACACUAACUGGAGGACCGAACCGACUAAUGUUGAAAAAUUAGCGGAUGACUUGUGGCUGGGGGUGAAAGGCCAAUCAAACCGGGAGAUAGCUGGUUCUCCCCGAAAGCUAUUUAGGUAGCGCCUCGUGAACUCAUCUUCGGGGGUAGAGCACUGUUUCGGCUAGGGGGUCAUCCCGACUUACCAACCCGAUGCAAACUACGAAUACCGAAGAAUGUUAUCACGGGAGACACACGGCGGGUGCUAACGUCCGUCGUGAAGAGGGAAACAACCCAGACCGCCAGCUAAGGUCCCAAAGUCAUGGUUAAGUGGGAAACGAUGUGGGAAGGCACAGACAGCCAGGAUGUUGGCUUAGAAGCAGCCAUCAUUUAAAGAAAGCGUAAUAGCUCACUGGUCGAGUCGGCCUGCGCGGAAGAUGUAACGGGGCUAAACCAUGCACCGAAGCUGCGGCAGCGACACUAUGUGUUGUUGGGUAGGGGAGCGUUCUGUAAGCCGUUGAAGGUGGCCUGUGAGGGUUGCUGGAGGUAUCAGAAGUGCGAAUGCUGACAUAAGUAACGAUAAAGCGGGUGAAAAGCCCGCUCGCCGGAAGACCAAGGGUUCCUGUCCAACGUUAAUCGGGGCAGGGUGAGUCGACCCCUAAGGCGAGGCCGAAAGGCGUAGUCGAUGGGAAACAGGUUAAUAUUCCUGUACUCGGUGUUACUGCGAAGGGGGGACGGAGAAGGCUAUGUUAGCCGGGCGACGGUUGUCCCGGUUUAAGCAUGUAGGCGGGA